AAAUUGAAGAGUUUGAUCAUGGCUCAGAUUGAACGCUGGCGGCAGGCCUAACACAUGCAAGUCGAACGGUAACAGGAAUCAGCUUGCUGAUUUGCUGACGAGUGGCGGACGGGUGAGUAAUGUCUGGGAAACUGCCUGAUGGAGGGGGAUAACUACUGGAAACGGUAGCUAAUACCGCAUAACGUCGCAAGACCAAAGAGGGGGACCUUCGGGCCUCUUGCCAUCGGAUGUGCCCAGAUGGGAUUAGCUAGUAGGUGGGGUAACGGCUCACCUAGGCGACGAUCCCUAGCUGGUCUGAGAGGAUGACCAGCCACACUGGAACUGAGACACGGUCCAGACUCCUACGGGAGGCAGCAGUGGGGAAUAUUGCACAAUGGGCGCAAGCCUGAUGCAGCCAUGCCGCGUGUAUGAAGAAGGCCWUCGGG
RNAcentral lists this ribosomal RNA (425 nucleotides) under Escherichia sp. E4930. RNAcentral's name for it is "bacterial SSU rRNA". It matches the Rfam family "Bacterial small subunit ribosomal RNA", at positions 1 to 422 of the family's 1533-position model. The record is from RNAcentral. Lineage: Bacteria; Pseudomonadati; Pseudomonadota; Gammaproteobacteria; Enterobacterales; Enterobacteriaceae.